GAUGAACGCUAGCGGCAGGCCUAACACAUGCAAGUCGAGGGAGAAGCCCUUCGGGGCAGAAACCGGCGCACGGGUGCGUAACGCGUAUGCAACCUACCUUUCACAGGGGGAUAGCCCGAAGAAAUUUGGAUUAAUACCCCAUAAUAUUAUUGGAUGGCAUCAUUUGAUAAUUAAAAUUACGGUGGUGAAAGAUGGGCAUGCGUCCUAUUAGCUAGUUGGAGUGGUAACGGCACCCCAAGGCUACGAUAGGUAGGGGUCCUGAGAGGGAGAUCCCCCACACUGGUACUGAGACAGGGACCAGACUCCUACGGGAGGCAGCAGUGAGGAAUAUUGGUCAAUGGUCGGAAGACUGAACCAGCCAUGCCGCGUGCAGGAAGAAUGCCUUAUGGGUUGUAAACUGCUUUUAUAUGGGAAGAAUAAAGGAGUACGCGUAC
RNAcentral lists this ribosomal RNA (434 nucleotides) under Capnocytophaga granulosa. RNAcentral's name for it is "bacterial SSU rRNA". It matches the Rfam family "Bacterial small subunit ribosomal RNA", at positions 28 to 465 of the family's 1533-position model. The record is from RNAcentral. Lineage: Bacteria; Pseudomonadati; Bacteroidota; Flavobacteriia; Flavobacteriales; Flavobacteriaceae.